RNAcentral lists this long non-coding RNA (3016 nucleotides) under Triticum aestivum (bread wheat). RNAcentral's name for it is "long non-coding RNA (TAES_LNC027477)". Lineage: Eukaryota; Viridiplantae; Streptophyta; Magnoliopsida; Poales; Poaceae. The record is from RNAcentral.
AGCGCGUCCGUUCCCCUCCCCCACUCCCCUGGUCCUCUCCCCUCUGCCUUGUCCGAAGCCGAGCGUCGCCAUGACUGCAACCAGUGAAGCACGCGGCCACCGGUGUCUCCGGCGUGCGGGAGCACGUCCAGGAGGUCCGCCGUGGCCGGAUCCGUCUGUUUCGGGGACCAGCUCAAGCCGGACCGCCUCGUACGCUCACCAUCGUCGUCUUCUUCGUCCCGUACAUCGUCGUCCGUCGUCGAUUACCGCCGUUCCGGUCAACCCCGACUCUCCCCAACCUCGCCACCGAGCUAGCUGUGAGCUCCUCCCCCAAAUCCCCCUUCUUCCCGCCUCGAUUCAUUGCCGUAGCCACCAUCCCCGAACUCCUUUGAGCUUCCGCGUACACGUACGCGUACGUGCGUGCUGGAGCCGCACACUGCUACGGUCUGCUCAUUGCUGCUCCCUGGCCGCGCCCUGGGCCUUUCCCUGCGCCCGUCUGCGCGUGCGGCCGCCGCGCCCCGGCCGCGUGCGCACGCCGCCCGCGGUCCUGUCGCUGCUGCUGCUCACUACUCCUGCUGCUCUCUGUCUGCUAAUCGCUGCUGUUGCUCAUGCUAUUGCCGCUGAUUCUAGCUGUUGCUUUCUGCUGCCGCUGUUGUGGCCACCCGUGCUCUAGUUAGUAGCUAGUUUAGGAAUAGUUAGUGCUUAGGUUAUUAGAUUGUCUAAUUAGGUGUAGUCUAUGACGUGCGGUCUACCUGAAUUAGAUUAAAGAAAUAUCAUGUAGGAAAUUAUUAAAACACAAACAUGUGGACCCUACAUACACUGUUCAUCUGUUGACUAGUCAAUCUUGACUGGGUCAACUGGACCACUAGGACCCAUCUAUCAUACACUCUGUCUAGACUUGAGCUAGGUGACAAAAUUAUUCUGUUUUUUUUUAUUUAUUUUUUAUUUUCGAAUUAAAUAAAUACAUCAAUUCUAGAAAUUCUUUUAAACGUUAGAAAAUCAUAUAAAAUAAACCGUAACUCGGAUGGAAAAACUUUGUACAUGAAAGUUGCUCAGAACAACAAGACGAAUCCGAAUACGCAGCCCGUUCGUCUGCCACGCAUCCCUAACAUAGCAAACCUGCAACAUUUCACCUCCGGUUCAUCUGUCCGAAAUCGCGAAACACCGGGGAUACAUUCCCGGAUGUUUUCCCCCUUCGCCGGUAACACCUCCUACUGCGUUAGGUCACCUCUACCACCGCAUAUUGCCAUGUUAACACCGCGUAUUGCCAUGUUACGCUUUGUGAUGCUUUGAUUGCUCUGUUGUUUAUUGUGUUCCCCCUCCGUUACUUCUUUCCGGUAGACCCCGAUGGCUGCCGGUGACCCCCAGUUCGACUACGGAGUUGACGACCCCUCUCUCUUGCCAGAGCAACCAGGCAAGCCCCCCCUUGAUCACCAGAUAUCGCCUAUUCUACUCUAUACUGCUUGCAUUAGAGUAGUGUAGCAUGUUACUGCUUUCCGUUAUUCCUAUCUUGAUGCAUAGCCUGUCCUUGCUACUACUGUUGUUACAUUUACCUGCUAUCCUACUGCUUAGUAUAGGAUGCUAGUGUUCCAUCAGUGGUCCUACACUCUUGUCCGUCUGCCAUGCUAUCUACUGGGUCGUGAUCACUUCGGGAGGUGAUCACGGGCAUAUAUUAUAUACUUUACACUGUUACAUUACCUGUGAUACUGUUCGGAGAUGGGGGCAGAAGGGGCAGGUGGUUCUACCCAGGUAGUGGUGGGCCUGGGUUCCCGACGGCCCCCGACUGUUACUUUGUGGCGGAGCGACAGGGCAGGUUGGGGCCACCUAGGAGAGAGGUGGCCUGGCCCUGUUCGGCGUUCGCGGAUACUUAACACGCUUAACGAGAUCUGGGUAUUUGAUCUGAGUCUGGCCAUUUGGUCUAUACGCACUAACCAUCUACGCGGGAGUAGUUAUGGGUAUCCCGGCGUCGUGGUAUCAGCCGAAGCCUUCGUGACGUCAGCGACUGAGUGGCGCGCGCCGCAUUGGAUCGUAAGCUCGCGCUUGUAUUAAGGGGGCUAGAUCUGCUUCCGGCCGCGUACGCAACGUGCAGGUGUGCUAAGCGCGAUGGGCCCAGACCCCUGUGCGCAUGGUUUAGACCGGCGUGCUGACCUCUCUGUUGUGCCUAGGUGGGGCUGCGACGUGUUGAUCUUCCGCGGCCGGGCAUGACCCAGAAAAGUGUGUCCGGCCAAAUGGGAUCAAGCGUGUUGGGUUAUGUGGUGCACCCCUGCAGGGAAGUUAAUCUAUUCGAAUAGCCGUGUCCCUCGGUAAAAGGAUGACCCGGAGUUGUACCUUGACCUUAUGAUAACUUGAACCGGAUACUUAAUAAAACACACCCUUCCAAGUGCCAGAUAUAACCCGGUGAUCGCUCUCUAAUAGGGCAACGAGGAGGGAAUUACCGGGUAGGAUUAUGCUAUACGAUGUUACUUGGAGGACUUCAGUCUACUCUCUUCUACCUGCUGCAAGACGGAGGCGACCAGAAGUGUAGUCUUUGAUAAGACUAGCUAUCCCCCUCUUAUUCUGGCAUUCUGCAGUUCAGUCCACUGAUAUGGCCCUUUACACAUAUAUCCAUGCAUAUGUAGUGUAGCUCCUUGCUUGCGAGUACUUUGGAUGAGUACUCACGGUUGCCUUGUUCCCCCUUUUCCCCCUUUCUUUACCCGGUUGCUGCGACUAGACGAUAGAGCCCAGGAGCCAGACGCCACCGUCGAUGACGACUACUACACUGGAGGCGCCUACUACUACGUGCAGCCCGCGGACGACGACCAGGAGUAGUUAGGAGGAUCCCAGGCAGGAGGCUUGCGCCUCUUUCGUUAUGUAUCCCAGUUUGUGCUAGCCUUCUUAAGGCAAACUUGUUUAACUUAUGUCUGUACUCAGAUAUUGUUGCUUCCGCUGACUCGUCUACGAUUGAGCACUUGUAUUCGAGUCCUCGAGGCCCCUGGCUUGUAUUAUGAUGCUUGUAUGACUUAUUUAUGUUUUAGAGUUGUGUUGUGAUAUCUUCCCG